CCUACGGGUGGCUGCAGUCGGGAAUUUGGGCAAUGGGCGAAAGCCUGACCCAGCAACGCCGCGUGAGUGAUGAAGGCCUUCGGGUCGUAAAGCUCUGUCGAGAGGGAAGAAUGUUCUCGGGGCAAACAAUCCCGGGAGCGUGACGGUACCUCCAAAGGAAGCGCCGGCUAACUCUGUGCCAGCAGCCGCGGGAAUACAGAGGGCGCAAGCGUGCGUCGGAAUUACUGGGCGGGAAUCGCGUGUAGGCGGCGAAAGCCCGGGGCUCAACCCCGGAACUGCACUCGAAACUGCCUCGCUCGAGUCCCGGAGAGGGUGGCGGAAUUCCCGGUGUAGAGGUGAAAUUCGUAGAUAUCGGGAGGAACACCAGUGGCGAAGGCGGCCACCUGGACGGUGACUGACGCUGAGACGCGAAAGCGUGGGGAGCAAACAGGAUUAGAUACCCGUGUAGUC
RNAcentral lists this ribosomal RNA (450 nucleotides) under uncultured bacterium. RNAcentral describes it as "partial 16S ribosomal RNA". It matches the Rfam family "Bacterial small subunit ribosomal RNA", at positions 338 to 795 of the family's 1533-position model. The record is from RNAcentral.